CUGCAAAUUGGCAGCGUGCUAUAAUGCAAGUCGAGCGCGGGAAGCCGGCGGACUCCUUCGGGAGGAAACCGGUGGAACGAGCGGCGGACGGGUGAGUAACACGUGGGCAACCUGCCGGACUGAUGGGAAUAACCCCGGGAAACCGGGGCUAAUGCCCAAUACGCCCUGACCUCGCCUGAGGUCAGCGGCAAAGCAGGGAUCUUCGGAUCCUUGCACAGUCCGAUGGGCCCGCGGCGCAUUAGCUAGUUGGAGAGGUAAGGGCUCCCCAAGGCGACGAUGCGUAGCCGACCUGAGAGGGUGAUCGGCCACACUGGGACUGAGACACGGCCCAGACUCCUACGGGAGGCAGCAGUAGGGAAUCAUCCGCAAUGGGCGAAAGCCUGACGGUGCAACGCCGCGUGAGUGAUGAAGGUUUUCGGAUCGUAAAGCUCUGUUGACAGGGAAGAACCCACGCCAGUCGAACAGGCUGGCGUGCUGACGGUACCUGUCCAGAAAGCCCCGGCUAACUACGUGCCAGCAGCCGCGGUAAUACGUAGGGGGCAAGCGUUGUCCGGAAUUAUUGGGCGUAAAGGGCACGCAGGCGGUUUCGUCAGUCCGAUGUGACAGGCCACGGCUCAACCGUGGAAGGCCAUUGGAAACUGCGAAACUUGAGGACAGAAGAGGAGAGUGGAAUUCCACGUGUAGCGGUGAAAUGCGUAGAUAUGUGGAGGAACACCAGUGGCGAAGGCGACUCUCUGGUCUGUACCUGACGCUGAGGUGCGAAAGCAUGGGGAGCAAACAGGAUUAGAUACCCUGGUAGUCCAUGCCGUAACGCUGAGUGCUAGUGUUAGGGGUUUCGAUACCCGUAUGCCGAAGCUAACGCAUUAAGCACUCCGCCUGGGGAGUACGACCGCAAGGUUGAAACUCAAAGGAAUUGACGGGGCCCGCACAAGCGGUGGAGCAUGUGGUUUAAUUCGACUCACGCGAAGACCUUACCAGAUCUUGACAUCUCCCGCUACGCCUCGAGAGAGGCGUUCCCCUUCGGAGGACGAUGACAGUGUGCAUGUGUCGUCAGCUCGUGUCUGAGAUGGUAGGUAAGUCCGCCACCGAGCGCAUCCCUAAUCCUAGUGCUAGCAUCAGUGGUCACUCUAUGGUGACUGCAGUGACACCGAAGGCAGGUGGGAUACGUUCAAUCAUCAUCCUAUGAUCUGGCUACACUGUCUCAAUGAUGUCACUUAGCGCACUCUGCAAGUGCGAACCAUCACUGGC
RNAcentral lists this ribosomal RNA (1248 nucleotides) under Marinococcus sp. HL25. RNAcentral describes it as "bacterial SSU rRNA". It matches the Rfam family "Bacterial small subunit ribosomal RNA", at positions 29 to 1284 of the family's 1533-position model. Lineage: Bacteria; Bacillati; Bacillota; Bacilli; Caryophanales; Bacillaceae. The record is from RNAcentral.